CGAGAGGUGCUUGCACCUUUCAAGCGAGUGGCGAACGGGUGAGUAACACGUGGAUAACCUGCCUCAAGGCUGGGGAUAACAUUUGGAAACAGAUGCUAAUACCGAAUAAAACUUAGUAUCGCAUGAUAUCAAGUUAAAAGGCGCUACGGCGUCACCUAGAGAUGGAUCCGCGGUGCAUUAGUUAGUUGGUGGGGUAAAGGCUUACCAAGACGAUGAUGCAUAGCCGAGUUGAGAGACUGAUCGGCCACAUUGGGACUGAGACACGGCCCAAACUCCUACGGGAGGCUGCAGUAGGGAAUCUUCCACAAUGGGCGCAAGCCUGAUGGAGCAACGCCGCGUGUGUGAUGAAGGCUUUCGGGUCGUAAAGCACUGUUGUAUGGGAAGAAAUGCUAAAAUAGGGAAUGAUUUUAGUUUGACGGUACCAUACCAGAAAGGGACGGCUAAAUACGUGCCAGCAGCCGCGGUAAUACGUAUGUCCCGAGCGUUAUCCGGAUUUAUUGGGCGUAAAGCGAGCGCAGACGGUUGAUUAAGUCUGAUGUGAAAGCCCGGAGCUCAACUCCGGAAUGGCAUUGGAAACUGGUUAACUUGAGUGUUGUAGAGGUAAGUGGAACUCCAUGUGUAGCGGUGGAAUGCGUAGAUAUAUGGAAGAACACCAGUGGCGAAGGCGGCUUACUGGACAACAACUGACGUUGAGGCUCGAAAGUGUGGGUAGCAAACAGGAUUAGAUACCCUGGUAGUCCACACCGUAAACGAUGAAUACUAGGUGUUAGGAGGUUUCCGCCUCUUAGUGCCGAAGCUAACGCAUUAAGUAUUCCGCCUGGGGAGUACGACCGCAAGGUUGAAACUCAAAGGAAUUGACGGGGACCCGCACAAGCGGUGGAGCAUGUGGUUUAAUUCGAAGCAACGCGAAGAACCUUACCAGGUCUUGACAUCCUUUGAAGCUUUUAGAGAUAGAAGUGUUCUCUUCGGAGACAAAGUGACAGGUGGUGCAUGGUCGUCGUCAGCUCGUGUCGUGAGAUGUUGGGUUAAGUCCCGCAACGAGCGCAACCCUUAUUGUUAGUUGCCAGCAUUCAGUUGGGCACUCUAGCGAGACUGCCGGUGACAAACCGGAGGAAGGCGGGGACGACGUCAGAUCAUCAUGCCCCUUAUGACCUGGGCUACACACGUGCUACAAUGGCGUAUACAACGAGUUGCCAACCUGCGAAGGUGAGCUAAUCUCUUAAAGUACGUCUCAGUUCGGACUGCAGUCUGCAACUCGACUGCACGAAGUCGGAAUCGCUAGUAAUCGCGGAUCAGCACGCCGCGGUGAAUACGUUCCCGGGUCUUGUACACACCGCCCGUCACACCAUGGGAGUUUGUAAUGCCCAAAGCCG
This 1373-nucleotide ribosomal RNA is filed under the name Leuconostoc citreum. Its description in RNAcentral is "bacterial SSU rRNA". It matches the Rfam family "Bacterial small subunit ribosomal RNA", at positions 70 to 1429 of the family's 1533-position model. Lineage: Bacteria; Bacillati; Bacillota; Bacilli; Lactobacillales; Lactobacillaceae. The record is from RNAcentral.